RNAcentral lists this ribosomal RNA (621 nucleotides) under Triticum aestivum (bread wheat). RNAcentral describes it as "partial small subunit ribosomal RNA". The record is from RNAcentral. Lineage: Eukaryota; Viridiplantae; Streptophyta; Magnoliopsida; Poales; Poaceae.
AUGUCCAAGUUGAAGUGUCGCACAAAGUAUCUGAGUAAGGAGAAGUACAUGAAGGUGCCCUCGAGAUGGUGUGCGGAUAGGCUGGAUUGUUGGGAGGCAUUGGUGGAUGAGUGGUGCUCUCCCCAAUGGCUAUCCACCCACAACAAUGCAAAGGAUCGGCGUGGCAAAAUGAGCGGUGUGCCACACCAUCAAGGCAGCGUCAACCUAUAUCAGUACGGGGAUAACUGGGCGCGGCACAACAAGACGGAUGUGCCAGAGCUGUUCGACCUCUAUGCCAUGGCUCAUAGAGCCCCUUUUAAGAAGGCCAAGGCAUUCUCUGAGUCUGAUCUCGACAAUCCAAAGAACUUCACCAACCACGCCUCCCACAAUAAGCUCGUGAGGUACAGAGACAAGGGGAAGGCGAGGAAAGGGCCGGACUUUAACCCGAGCCAGCCUAUUGAUCCAGAGCUGGUGAUGAUAUCUAGUGGCGAGAGGAACCAUGGCUUGUUAGCCAUUGGGGAUGGAUUGAUAUGUUGUACUAGCACUCUCUCGCAGAUCAAGAGGUGCCAGACGAGCUCCGAUCCUGAGAUAAGGCCUCGUCCACGGCCAAUGGAUCUCGAAAUCAACAUCAGCUGCUAUUGA